AAUUACGGUUAUAUUGUCUUGUCUUCAUUGAGAUUGUGUUGUUUUUUUAACAUUUGUUCCAGAUAUUUUGUGUUGCGUAAAAUUUCCUUGCAUAUGUAACAGAGAGAUUGAGGGUUUGAAACAAAACUAAGCAGCAAGCUUGAUGCUAAUUCACCUGCUUGGGUGCCAGACUGCCAGAUUGAUAAGUGUUUCUUUCCUCUUUUAUUUAAGUUCUGAGUGAGGGCUUAAAACA
Molecule: unclassified non-coding RNA, 232 nt
Filed under: Hevea brasiliensis (rubber tree)
Lineage: Eukaryota; Viridiplantae; Streptophyta; Magnoliopsida; Malpighiales; Euphorbiaceae
Source: RNAcentral